This is a long non-coding RNA of Gopherus evgoodei (Goodes thornscrub tortoise), 1116 nucleotides long. RefSeq lists it as uncharacterized. The record is from RefSeq and is a predicted model, not a curated record. NCBI's taxonomy places the organism in Eukaryota, Metazoa, Chordata, Testudines, Testudinidae. The transcript is spliced from 3 exons.
GCCAAACGGGGUGAGAGGCCAGGGGGCCCUGAGCCUCCCCCCAUGAAGCAGCCCCCCAGGUGCCUGCUGCACAGCCUGGCAUGGUGCCCAGCUGGUAUGUGGGGACAUCUCCCCCACCAUGGAACACGCAGGUUAAUGCCACCUUCCCCAGGACAGAGACCUGAGGAUCCUCCCUGCAGCCCAGGGCACGGCCCCCAGAGAGCUCCCCACAGCACAUGCCCCUGGGCACUAAAGCCACAUGGGAGUCCCAGGCAGAGAGAGCAAGGACAGUGGGGGGGGGGGGGAUCAAGUGCCAGCAGGGAGCAGCCGAGGAUGGCAGGGAUGGGGGGCAGGUGCAAAAGGACAGUGGGGAGGAGGCUGGGGGGGUCAAGUGCCAGCAGGGAGCAGCUGAGGACAGCGGGGGGGCUCGGAGUUCAGGUGCCAGCAGGGAGCAGUGGGACAGGUACUUCCAGGCUGCGAGAGGAUAGUGGGGUGUGUGUGUGCCAGGUGCUAGCGGGGAGCAGCUGAGGACAACGGGGGUGUGUGGGGGGAGUCAGGUGCCAGCGGGGAGCAGUGGGACAGGUACUUCCAGGCUGCGAGAGGACAGUGGGGUGCCUGUGUGCCAGGUGCCAGCGGGGAGCAGCUGAGGACAACGGGGGGAAUGCGGGGGGAGUCAGGUGCCAGCGGGGAGCAGCUGAGGACAGCAGGGGUGCGUGUGUGCCAGGUGCCAGCGGGGAGCAGCUGAGAACAGCGGGGGGCUGCGUUUGUGCCAGGUGCCAGCGGGGAGCAGCUGAGGACAGCAGGGGUGCGUGUGUGCCAGGUGCCAGCGGGGAGCAGCUGAGAACAGCGGGGGGCUGUGUGUGUGCCAGGUGCCAACGGGGAGCAGCUGAGGACAGCGGUGGGGUGCGGGGGGAGUCAGGUGCCAGCGGGGAGCAGCUGAGGACAGCAGGGGUGCGUGUGUGCCAGGUGCCAGCAGGGAGCAGCUGAGAACAGCGGGGGGCUGCGUGUGUGCCAGGUGCCAGCGGGGAGCAGCUGAGGACAGCGGGGGGCUGCGUGUGUGCCAGGUGCCAGCAGGGAGCAGCUGAGGACAGCGGUGGGGUGCGGGGGGAGUCAGGUGCCAGCGGGGAGUAGCAGGCC